Molecule: non-coding RNA, 514 nt
Organism: Gasterosteus aculeatus aculeatus (three-spined stickleback)
Lineage: Eukaryota; Metazoa; Chordata; Actinopteri; Perciformes; Gasterosteidae
Source: RefSeq, a predicted model, not a curated record
UGAUCCUUUUGGAGACACGUCCACAGGCUGUGAGCUUAGAGAAUAAGAGGGAGGAGAAGAUCCACCUGGCCAUCAGACUACAGGAGGAACCGUGUUUAUUAUUUGUAGAAGUUUCAUUAAUCCGGAAUCAUGCGUCCAGCUGUGCUAACCGCUGUCCUGCUCUCGGUGCUCUUCAUCAACGCCGUGACGUCACUGAACCUCGGCAAUCUGCCGCUGCGUGAAGAGCGAGCUCUCUUCGAUGCGCCACCAGAUGUUGCGGUUCCGGUGGCUCCCGCUCCACUGAACAUGCGGGCUUCCCGAGCCGCCGACCCGAACCAGAGAAACAUUCACAAAGUUGGAGAUGAUUCUCAAUUACUCUGCAAAGGAACAGUUUGCAAUGGGUAAUGAUAAUUAGACGGGGGGGGGGGGAGCUUUGUUUGAUCAUCAUCUGCUGAUGUGUUCCUUCUCUCUGUAAAGCUGCUCCGUGUUUCUAUAACCCGCCAACACGAGCUCCAAUAAACGCUUCAGCAUUCAA